Molecule: long non-coding RNA, 1723 nt
Organism: Cyprinus carpio carpio
Lineage: Eukaryota; Metazoa; Chordata; Actinopteri; Cypriniformes; Cyprinidae
Source: Ensembl
CUAAAAGCAGAUUCCCCUUGUUUUGUGUGUAUUUCUAAUUGACUCGAUCCUAAUUAUUUGAGUGGUCUGUUAGGUUUAUAUUCAGUGAGCAUAUCUGUAUGUAUGAAUGUAUUUCAGUCCUAGGCCACUGAUUGAUUUAUAAACAAGUAAAAGUACUUUAAAAUCAAUCCUGAAUAUAACUGGAAGCCAGUGUAAGGACCCGAGGACUGGUGUGAUAUGCUCAGAUUUUCUGGUUCUAGUCAGAAUUCUGGCAGCAGCGUUCUGUAUGAGCUGCAGCUGUCUAAUGGUCUUUUUGGGAAGGCCGGUGAGGAGACCAUUACAAUAGUCCACCCUGCUGGUGAUAAAGGCAUGAAGAAGUUUCCCCAAGUCUUGAGAUGAUAUUAUGCUGAUUUAGUUACUGCUUUGACACUGAAAGUGAAACAGAAAAGUGAAAAUACCUGCAGUGCGUUUAUGGCAAGCUGUUUUAACAUUUAAUCCUUAAAAUGUACGAGUAUAUUUUCAUGAUACUAGUAUACUACUUAAUUACUACUAGCAGGGCCGGCCCGAGGCAUAAGCGAACUAAGCGGCUGCUUGGGGCCACCAGGGGGCCCCCCAAUCGUUUUUACAAUUAAAGAACUUAAACAAGUGAUAUAAAUGAAUGAAUGAAUGAAUGAAUGAAUAUAAAUUAAUAAAUGAAUAAUUCAAGACAAAAAAAAUCUGAUUUGAUGACAGCUGCUGCUGCUGUGUCUGCUAGCGUUUGAGUCAUGCGCAAUUGCGCAUUGACGAUUCGCGCCGGCGCGCAAGUUUGCGUCACUGUAAUAAAUGAUAAGCCAUGUCACAAAAAAGGAUGUAUCCCUCUGGUGCCGAAAAGAGAAACAAGAAAAGGACAGAGGAGGAGAAAAAAAGAGCAAGAUAAAGCACAGGUGACUCCGCGUGUAGGAGGGGGGCCCCCAAAUCAAAUUCUGCUUAGGGCCCCCAAGAGGCUCGGGCCGGCACUGACUACUAGAAUACUAGUAUUCCAUCAGGUAGGCUACUACUACUUAUUCUUUGAUUACUAGUGCUUAUUUUUCAGGUGCUAGUGCAUUUAAGAUACUAGAAUUUAUUACAUAGUAGUUCUUGUUCAUUAGACACUAGUACUUCAACAGUGACUGGUAGACUUUUUUCAUAAUUUUGGCAAUAGGUGAACUGUUAAAUGAGUGAUUUUGAGAUGAGUCACUGACAAUUUGACUCAUGUUUGAAAUGUAUUACUGAACUUAAAUUUAAGUUUAAUUUGGAACAGCUUAAGCCAUUGAUCAAGCCAUUGAUAGAAGUCUAGUUUGACUGUCUUGCCAAAAAAUCCAACACACACACUUUCAAAAAUUAAGCUUCUUUAUUUGCAUCUAUGGUUCCGUGAAGAACCUUUUACAUUCAAUUCUUUAUAGUGGAAAAAUGUCCUUUAGAUAUUUAAAGUGUUCUUAACACAGGGUCUACAAUGGGCAUGAGCUGGGUAACGUGACAAAAGACAAUAAAACUUGUAAGUGAUUUAAUAAGUGAUUUUCUACACUGGAAACUGUGAAAAUUUCUCCAAAUUUGUUCAAAUGAAGAAACAAACUAUAUUACAUCUUGGAGGGCCCAAAUCCACCUAUAUGCAUAUCUUUUGCAAAUUCAUGGAAAGACAAACACAGCUGCUUGCUUAUAGAAUGUUUGCAAAAAAAAGAACACUGCAUACGUUUUUUUUUUCUUUUUUCAGUGUAUUGUAUAAAUA